GAUUGGUUAGUUUAAGUAAAACAUAAAUUUUGUAAAUUUAAAAUUAAUUAAAUA
RNAcentral lists this transfer RNA (54 nucleotides) under Wadicosa fidelis. RNAcentral describes it as "tRNA-Thr". Lineage: Eukaryota; Metazoa; Arthropoda; Arachnida; Araneae; Lycosidae. The record is from RNAcentral.